GUUUGCGUCCCUGGAAGCCGUGUUUCACACGGACAUUUGUUGCAGACGGACGCAGUCUUGGACCAGUGAUAAACUUUUGACAGUGAGAAAAACGACAGACGAGCAUAUUGUUUCGUUUGUGCUUGUCAUCUCGUGUGCUGGGCCAUGCAGCAGUUCCCUCGAAAGCAGGCGUCACGCGCCAUCUACCGGCGAGUGAGGUGUGUCAACCCGUGGUGUACAUUCAGCAAUUUAGAGUUCGCGAGGCGCACAAUUAAUGCUGAUUGGCCCAAUUACCGUCAAAGGAGGCGAGCCUAAACACAAACAAAGAGACAAGAAAAUGGAUUCUAAUGGAUUCUAAUGGAUUUAGAGGGCCUGAGAUUUGGGAUAAUAGUCGUUUCUGCGAGCGUGCGACGUGGACUGCGUCUGGAUGGCGACCGGGUCCGACGAGGUCAAAGUCCGCCGGUAACUUUGAGGAGUCUGCCGAGGAGGAGGACAAGACGAUGAAGAGGCGAGGACGGCUGAUUUACGGCUCCCGUUCUGCACCUCUCGACGUUUUAUGAUACGUUGUUACUGCGACUGAGAUACAUUUGACCCUCCGUUGUCAUUUGUUUGAGACGCCGACUGAGCGUCUCCUUCAAGGCCUGUAAUAUAUUCAUAUAUAACUUCCAGUAUACGAUACUGUACAAGCAAAGUAGAGAAUUUCAAUGCUAAAUAUAGAUUUUUCUAUGUAAAAACCAACACGAAUGUAGCAUUUUACAGGCAAAAUAUGGCAUGUUGAGUGUAAAAUACGCAAGAUCUAGCAUUUACAAGGCAAAAUAUAAUAUUUUGGAUGAAAAAUACCAGCAAUAUCAAACAUUUCCUAGACAAAGUAUAGCGUUUUGAGUAUCAAAUACAAGCGAACGCUACUACUUUUAAGGCAAUAUAUAGCAUUUUGAAUCUAAAAUACAUGCAAAGCUGGUAUUUAAAGACAACAUAUAGCGUUUUGAGAAUAAAAUCCAAGCAAAAUAUACCAUUUUGAAGGCUAAACAUAGUAUUUUCAGCCUGAAACACAAGAAAAAUAGAGCAUUAUCAAGGCAAAAUGUGGCAUUUUCACUGCGAAGCAAAUGUUUGCAUUUUCAAGGCAAAUGUAGCGUUUUGAGUCUAAUGUGCAUGCUCAAUAUUAUUAUACGAUCAUUUUAGAGGCAAAACAUAUUCAUAGUGUCAGCCAAAAGCAAAUACGAGCAUUUUCAACCUACGAUAACAUAUACAUAGGUACUUAUUAUAAAACAAUGGGCACAGUUCAUCAUGAAGUUUGUAGUAUAAUAUUUGGAAUGAUUUAGAAUUAUUUGUAUUUAUCAUCACUGUGCAAAACAUCAAUACACACCAUUGAUUUGAAAAUAUAUUUAUAACAAAUGUUUAUAACCUAUGUUAAUUCAUGUUAAUGUAUAUCAAAGCGAAGGUACACAUUUUUCAAAUCACGACAUUGGUUACUAAGAUUUGUUGCUAAAACGUUUACAUAAUAUGAAGUCAUUUAAAAAAGUCUUUUUUUUGUCGCAUGUGUACUAUACAACAUGAUUUAUAUAUAUUUUGUUGUAAUUUAAGCAUCAUUACAGCUUCAUUUAAUGUCAUAGUUGCAUCCAACGCGCAUGCACAAACACACACGGUUCCUCUGAGUGAUGCGAGUGGAGAACAUCAAAUCCUCAUUCUGUUCAUUAGGACGUUAAGGGGGGGGAAAAGAAAACAAAAAAAAGAGUAAGAACAUGAUUGUGAGCCAAAGAAGCAUUUGGAGAGAGGAUGCUCGUGGGAAAUUACUGUUUUUAACUUAAUAAGUUGUUUUAUUCUUUGCAGAUUGUGCGAAGAUUUGCGGGAUUGCAAAGCAAACACAUGAAAAAUCCACGUGGGAACGUUGGCAGCGCUGUCAACUCAAUAAAGUUCACGUCAAGUCUUCCGGAAAUUUGACUUGAACUUCGCACACACGCGCAGAGAGAUCUAUCUUUUUUGGAACACAGAUAAAGACGUAAUGUACGACUUAAGCGUAUUUUCUUUUCUUAUCUGCUGCUACAUUGAAACAAAUGCAUGUUUGUGUAAUAUUUAAAAUGAUUCACGCGCUUCCACUUGAUAAGACCGCACCGUGCGAGGGGCUCCCACGGAUCCAACACAUCCUGCAGCUCCCCGCACGCUAAAUUAUUAUCAGCAUUUUUAUUCUAUCUAGCGCAGACUUUUAUUACCUUCUCAUAUUUCAUUCAUUCGGGGUUUUGAAAGUAGGGUUUCAAGCAAGGGUCAGGGUUUCAAUCAAAUUGGGGUUUCAAGCCAGGGUCAGGUUUCCAGCAACAGUUGGUUGUUUCAAAUUAGGAUUUCAAGGCUGGGUUAGGGUUUUAGAAUUAGGGUUUCUCAGUAAGGUUUCAAGCCAGGGUUACGGUUUCAAACUUGGUUUAGGGUUUCAAGUGAAGCUUGUUUGGCUCUUUCAUAGUAAUGUGACUAAAACGUGUCCUGAGCAAUAAGAGUUUCAUCAGUAACCAUAUGUUUAAAGUCACAUUGUUGUAUCCAUGGUGAUAUUGUUUCAUUGUUGUUGUUGUCGUUUUGUUUUGUCUGCGUGCGUGCGUGUAUGGAACUUGCACGGUGCCACCUGUGCACCAGUCUUCACAGUUGGCUGACUUCAUUUUGUGCCCCCCACUGCGCCCUCUGGCGGAGCAACCUCUGCACUACAUCAACAAAGCGCCAAGCGUCACAUUGCAACACAGGAUCAAAUGUAUGUGAAGUCAUUUGACCAUUUUUUUUUUUCAAUAUGAUUGAUAUCCAGCUUCGGUCCAUGCACUACUAUGCUUACUAGUAAGGCGAUUCGGCGCACUAGGAGAACUACUGUCAUAGUAGUACAUUUUGUGGAAAAUCCCUAUUAGUUCCCUAGUGCCCAAACGGCUUUGCAUAUAGCUGAAAGUUAUUUUUGUGAGUAAGACAUGACUUGAAGGUUUUGUUGUUGUACCAGGUUUAAUGAAGUUGAAGAAUAGCAGGUCAGUGCUGGUCUCGACCGGUCUCGACUGAAAAUCCAGAGUCUGGCCUGUCCGAGACCGAGUCAGAGACAAGGCCGAGACCUGCAAAAGUGGUCUGGAGACCAAGACCAAUCUCUGGUGUUAAAACAUAAUAAAUGUGUG
This is a long non-coding RNA of Phyllopteryx taeniolatus (common seadragon), 3107 nucleotides long. RefSeq lists it as uncharacterized. The transcript is spliced from 4 exons. The record is from RefSeq and is a predicted model, not a curated record. NCBI's taxonomy places the organism in Eukaryota, Metazoa, Chordata, Actinopteri, Syngnathiformes, Syngnathidae.